CCCAGACUCCUACGGGAGGCAGCAGUGGGGAAUAUUGCACAAUGGGGGGAACCCUGAUGCAGCGACGCCGCGUGGGUGAAGGAGCGUUUCGGCGCGUAAAGCCCUAUCGGCAGGGAAGAAGGAGGACGGUACCUGACUAAGAAGCCCCGGCUAACUACGUGCCAGCAGCCGCGGUAAUACGUAGGGGGCAAGCGUUAUCCGGAUUUACUGGGUGUAAAGGGGGCGCAGACGGCAGCGCAAGCCAGGAGUGAAAGCCCGGGGCCCAACCCCGGGACUGCUCUUGGAACUGCGCGGCUGGAGUGCAGGAGGGGCAGGCGGAAUUCCUGGUGUAGCGGUGAAAUGCGUAGAUAUCAGGAGGAACACCGGUGGCGAAGGCGGCCUGCUGGACGGCGACUGACGUUGAGGCCCGAAAGCGUGGGGAGCAAACAGGAUUAGAUACCCGGGUAGGA
RNAcentral lists this ribosomal RNA (449 nucleotides) under uncultured bacterium. Its description in RNAcentral is "partial 16S ribosomal RNA". It matches the Rfam family "Bacterial small subunit ribosomal RNA", at positions 330 to 795 of the family's 1533-position model. The record is from RNAcentral.